UGGGGAAUAUUGGACAAUGGGCGCAAGCCUGAUCCAGCCAUGCCGCGUGAACGAUGAAGGCCUUAGGGUUGUAAAGUUCUUUUGUCAGGGAAGAUAAUGACGGUACCUGAAGAAUAAGCACCGGCUAACUUCGUGCCAGCAGCCGCGGUAAUACGAAGGGUGCUAGCGUUGUUCGGAAUCACUGGGCGUAAAGCGCGCGUAGGCGGCGAUAUAAGUCAGAGGUGAAAGCCUGGAGCUCAACUCCAGAACUGCCUUUGAAACUAUAUUGCCAGAGUGUCGGAGGGGAUAGCGGAAUUGCUAAUGUAGAGGUGAAAUUCGUAGAUAUUAGCAGGAACACCGGUGGCGAAGGCGGCUAUCUGGACGACAACUGACGCUGAGGCGCGAAAGCGUGGGGAUCAAACAGGAUUAGAUACCCAAGUAGUCCCUGAGCGGGCUGGCAAGGCGCAU
This 447-nucleotide ribosomal RNA is filed under the name uncultured bacterium. Its description in RNAcentral is "bacterial SSU rRNA". It matches the Rfam family "Bacterial small subunit ribosomal RNA", at positions 355 to 825 of the family's 1533-position model. The record is from RNAcentral.